ACCUGAAAUCAAGCAAGAUCACCCGCUGAACUUAAGCAUAUCAGUAAGCGGAGGAAAAGAAACUAACAAGGAUUGCCUUAGUAGUGGCGAAUGAACCGGCAAUAGCUCAAAGUGUAAAUCUGAGGCAUCAAGUCUUAGAAUUGUAAUCUAUAGGCCUUUUAGGGAAGCCACGGUCCUAGCAUAAGUUCCUUGAAAAGGGAUGCCAAAGAGGGUAAAAGCCCCGUAUUUGGUUAGGACUGGGUGUACCGAAGGGUUCCAAGAGUCGGGUUGUUUGGGAUUGCAGCCUAAAAUGGGAGAUAAACUUCUUCUAAAGCUAAAUAUUUAUGGGAAACCGAUAGCAAACAAGUACUACGAAGGAAAGAUGAAAAGAACUUUGAAAAGAGGGUUAAAAGACUUGAAAUCGUUGAGGAGAAAAGCGGUAGAAGAGAAAUGAUUUCAUUUAGAAGUAUGUAGUUAUGUAGGUGUCUUCUGCGGUAAUGGUACUUCAUAGGGCCUAGCUGUAGACCGGCGUCGCAUUGCUGCUUUUUCUGGAUGAAGUGCAAAAUGAGGUCUCGCUUGCGGAAACGUCUCUAGGGAGGACUCUGGCCUUGACGCUGGAAGCCCUGGUCUCCAA
Molecule: ribosomal RNA, 613 nt
Filed under: Paramecium tetraurelia
Lineage: Eukaryota; Ciliophora; Oligohymenophorea; Peniculida; Parameciidae
Also listed under: 1 other name
Description: eukaryotic LSU rRNA
Rfam family: Eukaryotic large subunit ribosomal RNA
Source: RNAcentral